This 463-nucleotide ribosomal RNA is filed under the name uncultured bacterium. RNAcentral describes it as "partial 16S ribosomal RNA". It matches the Rfam family "Bacterial small subunit ribosomal RNA", at positions 28 to 507 of the family's 1533-position model. The record is from RNAcentral.
GAUGAACGCUGACAGAAUGCUUAACACAUGCAAGUCUUUGGCGAAGCUGUGCUUGCACAGCCUAGCCAAGGCGGACGGGUGAGUAACGCGUAAGGAACUUGCCCUGCAGUCAGGGAUAACAGACGGAAACGACUGAUAAGACCUGGUAAAGUCAGGCGGACUCAUGUCCAGCCUGAUGAAAAGAGAUGCUGCAGGAGAGCCUUGCGUCCUAUUAGCUUGUUGGUGGGGUAACGGCCCACCAAGGCGAUGAUAGGUAGCCGGCCUGAGAGGGUGGACGGCCACAAGGGGACUGAGAUACGGCCCUUACUCCUACGGGAGGAAGCAGUGGGGAAUAUUGGACAAUGGGGGCAACCCUGAUCCAGCAAUUCUGUGUGCACGAUGAAGGUUUUCGGAUUGUAAAGUGCUUUCAGCAGGGAAGAAAAAAAUGACGGUACCUGCAGAAGAAGCGACGGCUAAAUACGUG